GCCUUCAUGGUGUAGUGGUCAGCACGCUCGGCGCGUAUUCGAGAGUUCCUUGGUUCGAGUCCCGGCAAGGGCA
This 73-nucleotide transfer RNA is filed under the name Stegodyphus mimosarum. It matches the Rfam family "tRNA". From Rfam's summary of the family: Transfer RNA (tRNA) molecules are approximately 80 nucleotides in length. Their secondary structure includes four short double-helical elements and three loops (D, anti-codon, and T loops). Further hydrogen bonds mediate the characteristic L-shaped molecular structure. tRNAs have two regions of fundamental functional importance: the anti-codon, which is responsible for specific mRNA codon recognition, and the 3' end, to which the tRNAs corresponding amino acid is attached (by aminoacyl-tRNA synthetases). tRNAs cope with the degeneracy of the genetic code in two manners: having more than one tRNA (with a specific anti-codon) for a particular amino acid; and 'wobble' base-pairing, i.e. permitting non-standard base-pairing at the 3rd anti-codon position. The record is from Rfam by way of RNAcentral. Lineage: Eukaryota; Metazoa; Arthropoda; Arachnida; Araneae; Eresidae.